UGUUGCACGCCAUGCGGAUGGACACGACUCUCGGCAAUGGAUAUCUCGGCUCUCNCAUCGAUGAAGAGCGCAGCGAAAUGCGAUANGUGGUGCGAAUUGCAGAAUCCCGCGAAC
This 114-nucleotide ribosomal RNA is filed under the name Maxillaria variabilis. RNAcentral describes it as "5.8S ribosomal RNA". The stretch from base 26 to 114 matches the Rfam family "5.8S ribosomal RNA", at positions 1 to 89 of the family's 154-position model. From Rfam's summary of the family: 5.8S ribosomal RNA (5.8S rRNA) is a component of the large subunit of the eukaryotic ribosome. It is transcribed by RNA polymerase I as part of the 45S precursor that also contains 18S and 28S rRNA. The record is from RNAcentral. Lineage: Eukaryota; Viridiplantae; Streptophyta; Magnoliopsida; Asparagales; Orchidaceae.